AUUGAACGCUGGCGGCAUGCCUUACACAUGCAAGUCGAACGGUAACAGGUCUUCUGUUGCUGACGAGUGGCGGACGGGUGCGUAAUACAUCCGAACGUGCCCAGCCGUUGGGGAUAGCGAGGCUAAAGCUUUGCUAAUACCGCAUACGAUCUAAGGAUGAAAGCCGGGGACCGCAAGGCCUUGCGCGUUUGGAUCGGGCGAUGGCCGAUUAGGUAGUUGGUGGGAUAAAAGCUUACCAGGCCGACGAUCUGUAGCUGGUCUGAGAGGACGAGCAGCCACACUGGGACUGAGACACGGCCCAGACUCCUACGGGAGGCAGCAGUGGGGAAUUUUGGACAAUGGGCGAAAGCCUGAUCCAGCAAUGCCGCGUGCAGGAUGAAGGCCUUCGGGUUGUAAACUGCUUUUGUACGGAACGAAAAGGCUCUGGCUAAUACCUGGGGCACAUGACGGUACCGGAAGAAUAAGCACCGGCUAACUACGUG
RNAcentral lists this ribosomal RNA (482 nucleotides) under uncultured bacterium. Its description in RNAcentral is "partial 16S ribosomal RNA". It matches the Rfam family "Bacterial small subunit ribosomal RNA", at positions 30 to 507 of the family's 1533-position model. The record is from RNAcentral.